RNAcentral lists this ribosomal RNA (253 nucleotides) under uncultured bacterium. RNAcentral describes it as "partial 16S ribosomal RNA". It matches the Rfam family "Bacterial small subunit ribosomal RNA", at positions 524 to 776 of the family's 1533-position model. The record is from RNAcentral.
UACGUAGGGGGCAAGCGUUGUUCGGAAUUACUGGGCGUAAAGGGCGCGUAGGCGGCACAGCAAGUCGGGAGUGAAAGCCCGGGGCUCAACCCCGGAACGGCUUUCGAAACUGCUGAGCUAGAGUACAGAAGGGGCAACCGGAAUUCCCAGUGUAGCGGUGAAAUGCGUAGAUAUUGGGAAGAACACCUGAGGCGAAGGCGGGUUGCUGGGCUGAUACUGACGCUGAGGCGCGAAAGCCAGGGGAGCAAACGGG